AUUGAAGAAGAUAAAGAAGAUGAAGAAAAGGACGAAGUAUAUGUAGGUUGAUUUAGAAAAUCCAUUGAAAUAUGGAAAGCUUUUGGUAUUCGAGAGAAUUGAAGAGAGAAGGCGGUGAAAAUCUUUGGUGUAUUGAAGAGCAUUGAAUGAAAAUUGAAGGAAACAGAGAGAAGAUGAGAAUGCCGCCCAAAAUCCCAAUUCUCUGGCCACAGAGAAUAGCACAUCAAAGUCAAAAAGUCAACCAUUAUUUUGCUUUAGUAUAAUAGAUAGAUUAAAUCAGUUUGAGUAAUGCUCUCUUUACUUGCAAAUGCGUCCAUAGUUCAUCUUUUCAAAGAGGUCAAAUAGGGCAAAAUUUGCUCAAAAGUUUUUUUGUUUCCAUUUUUAAUGUGUCAGUUUUCGUAGUGUUCUGAUUGCGUUGAUUUUGGCAAUAUACUUCUUGCUUCUUAUCAUCUUCAUCAAUUUUAUUAGGUUUUUGGGUUUUGAUGUUUCUUUCGCUAAAAGCAGGUUCCCGUACUUUUAUGGAGCGUAAUUUCCUUCUUUUCGGAUCUGGCCCGGUAUUUGGUUUUCUCUUAUAUGCAACGACUUUAGUUUUAGAUGGCUUAUUGGGUUUUGCAAUUUUGUCAUUGGCUUUGGUGUUUUGUACUUUGAGUGUUGUGAUUUUGGGGGUUCUGAUGUAAGGCGUUUCUUUUUUUGUGUUAAUUUUUGCUAAAUAAAUUCAUGCGAUCUGGUGAAGUUUGUAAAGUUGGUGAGAACGAGUUCACUUUAUUAUGAGCUCAGUUCUACAUUAUUGAGGUUUGUAAAGUUCUUAUGUAUGCAACUCAAAAAAAAAUGGCCAGCAUACAUAAGAGUGGUCCACUUUUUAAGUCACAAGGGUAUUUGAUUUUGGUUUCAUGUAGAUCCACAACUGUUCUAUAUUGGUUUAUUAUGUUUUUUAUGGCUUUGAUCUAUUUGAAUUCCUUUGGUUAAUGCUCACAGCUGUUUUGUGUUGGUUUAACCCAAGCAUAACGCACGAGUAGGGUGAGGAAUCCCGCCGGUUUCGAAACCACUAGGCGGGUCAGGCAAUGUGUUAAAGCGGGCCUCUGCGUCGUUGGCACUACCUAUCAUCAUUUUGUUCGGAGUUUUAUGAGCCAUAUUUUUUACUACUCACUAACGAAGACCUCACAGAAAAAGGAGCGUGCUUCUUCAUCAGCUAACAUCUCAAUGAAGCAACACCCGCUCCGCCUCUUGCCACCCCAACAUCAAAGCCAACUAAAAGGCAAAUAUAAUGAUACGUGCGACACAUCAAGAAAAAGGACGGCUAAAAAUCAUGUGUAACAACCAUAGAUUAUGCUACAGAUGGACCGGUAAGACUUUGUUAAAAGGCUUCAAUGGCUUGCUAAACAAACAAGGCGGAUACAAAUCCUAUAAGACAACUGUAAGGUUAUGGUAUGGAUGGACCGAGAAGGUUGUAUCAAAAUGCUUCCAUUGCCUGUUAUUUGUAGAUCCAUUUUUUCAUGUAGGAAUUAGUUGUUUUCAGUUAAAAAAAAGGUACAAAACAUGUCGUAUUUGGUCAUCCAACUCCUAUUUAAAAGACAAAUCGAGAUUUAGCAUAAAUGUACGUAGCAUUGAACUGAGAAUGAUUCGGUUUAGCAUGCCGCAACGCGCGUAGAGUAUAUAAC
Long non-coding RNA from Helianthus annuus (common sunflower), 1658 nucleotides. RefSeq lists it as uncharacterized. The transcript has 4 exons. Lineage: Eukaryota; Viridiplantae; Streptophyta; Magnoliopsida; Asterales; Asteraceae. The record is from RefSeq and is a predicted model, not a curated record.